RNAcentral lists this ribosomal RNA (797 nucleotides) under Bacillus pumilus. RNAcentral's name for it is "bacterial SSU rRNA". It matches the Rfam family "Bacterial small subunit ribosomal RNA", at positions 564 to 1361 of the family's 1533-position model. The record is from RNAcentral. Lineage: Bacteria; Bacillati; Bacillota; Bacilli; Caryophanales; Bacillaceae.
AGGGCUCGCAGGCGGUUUCUUAAGUCUGAUGUGAAAGCCCCCGGCUCAACCGGGGAGGGUCAUUGGAAACUGGGAAACUUGAGUGCAGAAGAGGAGAGUGGAAUUCCACGUGUAGCGGUGAAAUGCGUAGAGAUGUGGAGGAACACCAGUGGCGAAGGCGACUCUCUGGUCUGUAACUGACGCUGAGGAGCGAAAGCGUGGGGAGCGAACAGGAUUAGAUACCCUGGUAGUCCACGCCGUAAACGAUGAGUGCUAAGUGUUAGGGGGUUUCCGCCCCUUAGUGCUGCAGCUAACGCAUUAAGCACUCCGCCUGGGGAGUACGGUCGCAAGACUGAAACUCAAAGGAAUUGACGGGGGCCCGCACAAGCGGUGGAGCAUGUGGUUUAAUUCGAAGCAACGCGAAGAACCUUACCAGGUCUUGACAUCCUCUGACAAGCCUAGAGAUAGGGCUUUCCCUUCGGGGACAGAGUGACAGGUGGUGCAUGGUUGUCGUCAGCUCGUGUCGUGAGAUGUUGGGUUAAGUCCCGCAACGAGCGCAACCCUUGAUCUUAGUUGCCAGCAUUCAGUUGGGCACUCUAAGGUGACUGCCGGUGACAAACCGGAGGAAGGUGGGGAUGACGUCAAAUCAUCAUGCCCCUUAUGACCUGUGCUACACACGUGCUACAAUGGACAGAACAAAGGGCUGCAAGACCGCAAGGUUUAGCCAAUCCCAUAAAUCUGUUCUCAGUUCGGAUCGCAGUCUGCAACUCGACUGCGUGAAGCUGGGAUCGCUAGUAAUCGCGGAUCAGCAUGCCGCG